RNAcentral lists this non-coding RNA (105 nucleotides) under Halanaerobium kushneri. RNAcentral describes it as "SAM-I sequence". It matches the Rfam family "SAM riboswitch aptamer (S box leader)". Rfam says of the family: The SAM riboswitch is found upstream of a number of genes which code for proteins involved in methionine or cysteine biosynthesis in Gram-positive bacteria. Lineage: Bacteria; Bacillati; Bacillota; Clostridia; Halanaerobiales; Halanaerobiaceae. The record is from RNAcentral.
AACUUAUCGCGAGAGGUGGAGGGACUGGCCCUUUGAAACCCGGCAACCAGCAGUUAGCUACUGCCCGGUGCUAAUUCCAGCAGGAAGAUUCCUGAGAGAUAAGGA